This is a long non-coding RNA of Lactuca sativa (garden lettuce), 1159 nucleotides long. RefSeq lists it as uncharacterized. The record is from RefSeq and is a predicted model, not a curated record. Lineage: Eukaryota; Viridiplantae; Streptophyta; Magnoliopsida; Asterales; Asteraceae.
UACAAGAACGAUCGACGAAUACUACCAAAUAAGAUAAAUAUGAUUUGUUUAUUGUUAGAUAUAAUUAAGUAAUGAGUUGCAUGCUUCAUUCUUUGUUAUUAUAAAUGUGUCCGCUUCAUCCUUUCAAGAGGAGAAGGAUCGGACAAAAGAAGGUGGUGACGACGGCCCGGGUGGAUAGGAUGGGAUUCUGACCUCCACACUUGGACGGAGUGGUGACUUUGAGAGGUAGAGAGAUUUUAAGCCUAAGCAGAGAUCUUUCUUCAAAUUCUUGGUCUCGACGCUCAAUAGCCGUAGUUGACUAUAGACCUUCACGAGUUACUUGUCAUCACCCGGAAAUCACAAAUCUUUACCAAGUGCCAGAGAUUGGUUUGGAACUUUCUUGAAGCAUCAAGCCUGGCAUCCCAAAGCCAGCGUAGUCCAGGCGAACUCAAUAAUCCGAUUUUCAAAACUGUGUAAAAUGACUAUAAUGUCUUCUUCAAUUUAUCUUUCAUUUAUUUUUGACAUUUCUAACUAUUAUUAACUACAAAUUGCCCGGUCCCCGCGGAAGUUGGGGGGGGGGGGGGGGGGGGGAUAUUUUUCAUUAUGUAAAGUAUCGGUAGAAGGAUUGUUAUGUAAUUAAAUAAGUGUCGGUAGAAUAAUUAUUAAGUGUAGGUUGAUGUAACAUAAAGUGUAUAACCCUCAAUAGUCUAGGAGGCUAUAAUGUAAAUAUAUAUGUGUCAUAUUGCAAUCAAACGAUUGCAACAGUAAUUGUAACCGGCUCUCUUGAGCCUAUAAAUAGGGCCUUUGCCCAAAUGAAAUAAACAAGCUAAGUUUGAGUGUUUAAGACUUGAGUUGAUCUCAAUUGUCUUCUCUGUUGAAAUAGUUGUUCUAUUUUUGAAUAGCAGAGUUCUAUCCAAACUAUCCAUAUAAUCAUCUAAUCAUUCAACACAAUCCAUCAUCAAUAUAAUCCAACGCAUCAUUCAGGAGAUUUGGAGAGCGGAAAGGAUUAGGGAAGGAGAAAUUGUGGUUGGAGUUCGACAAAAUUAGGUUUUGUGGAUGCAAAGUUUGGAUAUAGAAGGUUUCCUAAACCAAAACCAGAAGAAUUCUGUUAAUUGAUUCUUUUGUUUCCAUUAAUUUUGUUUAGAGAAAAGGAUAGCAAUACAUGAAGGUUAGUAUGUUU